GAUGAACGCUGGCGGCGUGCCUAAUACAUGCAAGUCGAGCGAACGGACGAGAAGCUUUCUUCUCUGAUGUUAGCGGCGGACGGGUGAGUAACACGUGGAUAACCUACCUAUAAGACUGGGGGAACUUCGGGAAACCGGAGCUAAUACCGGAUAAUAUUUUGAACCGCAUGGUUCAAAAGUGAAAGACGCUCUUGCUGGUACUUUUAGAUGGUGUCGCUCUGCAUUGGCUAGUUGGUAAGGUAACGCCUAGUCAAGGCAACGAUGCAGAUCCGACCUGAGAGGGUGAUCGGCCACACUGGAACUGAGACACGGUCCAGACUCCUACGGGAGGCAGCAGUAGGGAAUCUUCCGCAAUGGGCGAAAGCCUGACGGAGCGACGCCGCGUGAGUGAUGAAGGUCUUCGGAUCGUAAAACUCUGUUAUUAGGGAAGAACAUAUGUGUAAGUAACUGUGCACAUCUUGACGGUACCUAAUCAGAAAGCCACGGCUAACUACGUG
This 497-nucleotide ribosomal RNA is filed under the name uncultured bacterium. RNAcentral's name for it is "partial 16S ribosomal RNA". It matches the Rfam family "Bacterial small subunit ribosomal RNA", at positions 28 to 507 of the family's 1533-position model. The record is from RNAcentral.